CCCUGGUGGAUAGUGUGAGUGGAGUUAUUUUUGUGUGUGAGUGAGUCUCAGUCAAUUCCUGGAAUCGGAAACCCAAUAAUGGACCACUUAGUCUUCUUCAGACCUGCCAUAUGUGCUCUUGUAGUGUUUUUCUGUUUGCUAAUGGACUGAUGUUCGUGCUUGCGUUCUUAUUUUGGUCUGUUUUUGUUCUUGAAAACGAUUGAAUUGCGGUGUGAGAGUGUGUUUUUGUCGUCUUGUUUUUUUCAGGUCUUUGAAGAACAGCUUGUUCUCUGUCCGGAUGAAGAGGAAGAAGAACUAAACACGUUUAACUCAGAGAAGCUGUGUUCCUCUCCUGACUCCUGCACUCCAUUUCACCUCAGUUCUUCAGACACUGCUGCUGUCAUGCUCAGAGACUCCGCUAAGGUCAGACGCCACACAUAUCGCUACUCCUACAAAUCAGCAUACUCAGUAUGCCAGAUCUACAGACACUCGGCUGUAACAUUUUCCAUCCAAAUCCCAUCUCCUCCCUUCACUCUACUGCCUUUGUCCUAUGAUUGAUCUCUUUGAAAGUCUUGGGGAAAUACUUUAUUUGAUCUUGGCACAUUGUAGCCUGAAUCUUAAGCCACAACUCUUCUACUGCCUUACAAGUCUUUAGUUUGACAUGAAUCAAGACACUGUAGUUUAUGAGACACCAGACUUAGUGUAAUGGAUAGUUCACCCAAAACAAAACAACAAAAAAAUUGUCAUCACUUAUUCACCCUCAUGUCCUUCCAAACCUAUAUGAUUCUGAAAAAUCUCUC
This 779-nucleotide long non-coding RNA is filed under the name Carassius auratus (goldfish). Its description in RNAcentral is "lncRNA (ENSCARG00000003004.1)". Lineage: Eukaryota; Metazoa; Chordata; Actinopteri; Cypriniformes; Cyprinidae. The record is from RNAcentral.